GACGAACGCUGGCGGCGUGCUUAACACAUGCAAGUCGAACGGAAAGGCCCUGCUUUUGUGGGGUGUUCGAGUGGCGAACGGGUGAGUAACACGUGAGUAACCUGCCUUUGACUUUGGGAUAACUUCAGGAAACUGGGGAUACUACCGGAUAGGAGAUCCUGCUGGAUGGUGGGGGUUGGAAAGUUUCGGCGGUUGGGGAUGGACGGGGGGCUUAUCAGCUUGUGGGUGGGGUAGUGGCUUACGAAGGCUUUGGCGGGUGGCCGGCCUGGGAAGGUGACCGGCCACAUUGGGACUGAGAGACGGCCCAGACUCCUACAGGAGGCAGCAGUGGGAAGUAUUGCACAAUGGGCGGGAGCCUGAUGCAGCAGCGCCGCGUGCGGGAUGACGGCCUUCGGGUUGGAAACCGCUUUCGCCUGUGACGAAGCGUGAGUGACGGUAAUGGGUAAAGAAGCACCGGCUAACUACGUG
Molecule: ribosomal RNA, 468 nt
Filed under: uncultured bacterium
Lineage: Bacteria
Description: partial 16S ribosomal RNA
Rfam family: Bacterial small subunit ribosomal RNA
Source: RNAcentral